Long non-coding RNA from Lontra canadensis (Northern American river otter), 413 nucleotides. RefSeq lists it as uncharacterized. The transcript has 3 exons. Lineage: Eukaryota; Metazoa; Chordata; Mammalia; Carnivora; Mustelidae. The record is from RefSeq and is a predicted model, not a curated record.
CAGGAAAAACGAGCGGAAACGCACUCCCAAACCGAGCCCAGCUGGGGAGGGCGCGGGGCGAGCAGCCCGUGCAGCGUGAAUAUUCAGCAGGGGUGGGGCCCGAACAAUGGCCGGCCGGCGGGCACGGCGAACCGCGGCCGGGAUGCGGCGGCCGGCCGACGGGGCGCUCGCGGGAGGGCCAGAGCAGGGAUGAGACGGACCGGGGCGUCCCCGGUGAGGUGCCGAGGGCUACGUUUGUGACAGGCUUGUAGGUGAGGAAUUUGUUGAGCACCACCUGGCCGCCGGGUCCCAAGGUUUUCUUGGAAACAGUACCCAAACCAGCACCUGUAAUUGCCUUGCGCUGCCUUUCUUACCUCACUCAGUAGUGGUGAACUAAUGUAGAAAAUAUCAUCAGGACCAGAUCAAGAGGCCAG